This 467-nucleotide ribosomal RNA is filed under the name uncultured bacterium. RNAcentral's name for it is "partial 16S ribosomal RNA". It matches the Rfam family "Bacterial small subunit ribosomal RNA", at positions 28 to 507 of the family's 1533-position model. The record is from RNAcentral.
GAUGAACGCUGGCGGCGUGCUUAACACAUGCAAGUCGAACGGAAAGGCCCAAGCUUGCUUGGGUACUCGAGUGGCGAACGGGUGAGUAACACGUGGGUGAUCUGCCCUGCACUUCGGGAUAAGCCUGGGAAACUGGGUCUAAUACCGGAUAGGACCACUUCUUGGAUGUUGUGGUGGAAAGUUUUUUCGGUGUGGGAUGAGCUCGCGGCCUAUCAGCUUGUUGGUGGGGUAAUGGCCUACCAAGGCGUCGACGGGUAGCCGGCCUGAGAGGGUGUACGGCCACAUUGGGACUGAGAUACGGCCCAGACUCCUACGGGAGGCAGCAGUGGGGAAGAUUGCACAAUGGGCGCAAGCCUGAUGCAGCGACGCCGCGUGGGGGAUGACGGCCUUCGGGCUGUAAACUCCUUUCGCUAGGGACGAAGCGUUUUGUGACGGUACCUGGAGAAGAAGCACCGGCUAACUACGUG